Gossypium arboreum is the source of this 614-nucleotide long non-coding RNA. RefSeq lists it as uncharacterized. The record is from RefSeq and is a predicted model, not a curated record. The transcript has 2 exons. NCBI's taxonomy places the organism in Eukaryota, Viridiplantae, Streptophyta, Magnoliopsida, Malvales, Malvaceae.
CACCACCAACUAGAGUACCAUAAAAAGCAUUGCUUGGAUUCUUUUUUAUUUGAUAUAAUAAUAAUUUUUCCCUCUUACCUUUUUCUAAAAAAUCAAAUUAGCCCUUUAUUCUUUUUCUAUCUCUUUUAGUUAAACUGAUCUGUUGUCGACAGAAAUACUAAUGGAGCCAUUAAAAAUCUGAUGUGGUAUCUAUGUGGAUAUUUUUUUAACACAAUAAAUCUAUGUGGCUUUUAUGUUUUUAUUUUUUAUCUCUUUUAUAUUUAUUUUUCUAUCUUCUUUUCUCUUUUUUUUUUCUGCAUAGAAACCCUAGCCACCUAUGUUGUCGCAAUUGCUUCUCCAGUGCUGCGGUCGCCGCUUUUCCAGUGCCAUCACCUAUCCUUUUCUCGACAACAGCACAUUUAGUGACCUUGGCACCGUUGGAUCAUUCUUCUCAACGCUCUUGAUCCCACCAACAGCCACGGUCUGGGUUUUGCAUUGGUAGAUUGUUUCAGUUUCAAUUUGUAACAUAUACAUAAUACAUGGUUUUCAUUUCUAGCCAAGUAAAUUAAGGAACCAUUGGGUUUUGUAUAUUGUCUCAUGAUUGCUAUUUAAACAAGAGUCAUCUUCAAAUUAAA